This is an RNA transcript of Theobroma cacao (cacao), 2163 nucleotides long. It is a transcript of the gene named Octicosapeptide/Phox/Bem1p family protein, with no coding region annotated. NCBI's taxonomy places the organism in Eukaryota, Viridiplantae, Streptophyta, Magnoliopsida, Malvales, Malvaceae. The record is from RefSeq and is a predicted model, not a curated record.
CACAUCUGUAACAAUCGUAGCCAAAAACACAGCCACCCACUCAUUUAACAUCUUUACUUAACUGAACACCAAAGAAGAACCCCCACCGUCUCAGCCGCCCCAGACCCAAGAUCCUCCCUUUGCCCACCGCCAUGGAUCCACCACCCACCACCACCCCCCCAAAGCUACGACUGAUGUGUAGCUACGGCGGCCACAUCAUCCCACGUCCACAAACUAAAUCACUCUACUACUCCGGAGGAGAAAACCGCAUAAUCACCAUCCCCCCCACCACCGCUCCCACCCUUACUCUCUCUUCUCUCACCACCCACCUCUCCACCUUCCUCCACCUCGGCACCCCAUUUGUUCUCAAAUACCAACUUCCCCAUCACGACCUUAACUCCCUCAUUUCCAUCUCAACGGAUGAUGAUCUCCAAAUCAUGUUAGAAGAGCGCAGCAGACUCUCUUCCACUGGUACUCCUUCACGUGUCAGAUUAUUUAUUUUUCCAGUUGUCAAUAGCGUCAACGCUGAGUUGAGUCAUCCGAAAAGGGAGAGUUGGUUUGUUGAUGCUUUGAGGAGUGCAAGAGUGGGGUUUGGAGGGGAAAUUAGUAGUGAACAAGAGUCUAUUGUUUUGGAAACUUCGUCUUCUUUUGGCUCCACUUCUUCUUCGCAUUCUUUGUCGAAUCUGCCUCCAAUUAAACCCUCAUCAGAUUCAAUACCAAGUGAUGAUCGUGUUGGGAGUGCUGUUUCUAAUGUGCGGACUGGAACUUGUCAAGACCAAGUUGCCCCCUUUGCUGCAAUGAAGAAUAAGGCCUCUUCGAACCCAUUUGAACCAGACAAUAAAGUUGCUGAUCCUUCCUCUGGGAUAGAGCUGCAUAAACCAAUUCAGGCGUCUGGGUCUCCAAUAAAUCUAGUGGAUCUACCGCAGCAACAAACACAAUUUGUUCUUGAGGGUACCCAUUACAUACCACAGAACAUGCCUGGAGUACAGCCAGUUACAUCAUAUUACCCAGUUUAUCAUCCACUGCCACCACAGCAACAGCACCUCCAUUACCAGUCAAAUCAACCUUACCCACUGUAUUACUUGCCAGUUGUGCCAACUCAGUCUUACAGUAUACCUAUGCAAUGUGGGAUGGUUCAGGCAUCCUCUUCCUCUAUUGGCUCUGGUCAGCCCCAAAUCCAUCCAAACGCUUCAUUGAUUCCACCUCAACGGGUUAUCAAGGAGGUUGCAGCAUUACUUCAACCUGUAGCUGACUUAACCUCACAGACAUACAAAAAUGUUCCAGGGCACCCACUUAUUCAUUUACCUUAUAAUGAAACAGAAACAAGGCCUGUUGGUGCUCAAAUUCAGCACAGCCCUCAAGCAUUUGGUGUUGCUGCUGGUGAAACAGCUAAUUGCACUAGCAAACUUGAUGAUGACCCUGCUCGUGUUCAAAUAUACAAAUCUCAGCCUCCACCACCCAUGUUGCCUUCGCAGUACCAAACCAUGACCAAAGCCACAACAUUACUUUUGUCUGAGGCUUUAGGGCAAUUGCAUACAGACGAUGCAAAGCAACAGAUUAGAACAUCAGAACCACAAUGAUCCUACUCUCCAACAGGGAACACAAUUUUGGUAGUGGUGUCUUCGUUACUUUUGGGUUGUUCUACCUUGGUCCUGAUUUUUGUAGUGAAGCUUCAUCAGAUUGGAGCUUUUGUACUCAAGAUACUAUUAUGGUCCCUGAUCAAUCCCAGCAGACAUACUGCAGCCACGACUUUAAUCAGUUUUAUAUAUGGGAGUUAAAGUCCCAGAAAUAAAAUGUCUCUUAGUGCUGCUUAUGAUGCUUUCUUUCACAUGAUGCAAGCUGGACAUUACAAGAGGAUAGCUAAUAUUAAUCUUUGUCUAUAUAGAGCACUCCCAAAUUGGCCUUGCUCAAACUCUGAUUUUUCAUAAACUCUGCUUUUCAUAAUUCGAAAUCAGCAUUUGUCUGCUAUUUCCUCAUGAAAACAGGUUUGAUUGACAGUCUUUAGACCUUCAGAGAAUGUUUAUGUUGCAAGCUUUUCUGUAACUCAAGAUACAAGCUCUGGGGAUUCUGUCUUGUUUGAUUGUAAGAAGUCCUGAAAACUGGUAUUACUCUACAUGAAUCAAGUGCAUCUGAAUGUUGGUUGUUCGUCGUUGGUCUUUCACAGAAACAUGCAGUGUUAUGAAU